AGUUGGGACGCUUCCGCCGACGGAAUUUUUCGCUUCUCCCCGCUCCGCCCCCGCCCUCCGGUCGCCCGGUUCCCGGACGCCGGCGCCGGGCUGCUCGCGCCGCACCUCGGGGCGGCCGCUCUCCGCCUCCCCCGGGAGGCCGGACGGAUCUCUGAGGGUGUGAUACUUCCCAGCGUGGCUUCCAUCCUAAGGAUGCUGCCCGUCACUUCUUUUCUCCUCCAGCCCGCGUUUCUCGCCGGUCUGGUCCACUCUGUGAACUCACCGUCUGCAUCUUCGUGGCCCAGGCCUGGGCAGCCCCCUGCAGUCCCGAUUAUUCCGUUGACUUUAGGAUUGCUCCGCUGAUGCUGUUGCUUCCCAAAAACGUGCCUGGAAGCCUAAGUUAUAUGACUUUGGCAGGUCAACAGGAAAUAAGGCUUAGUUGCCAAACUAAGAAAGCAACCAGGCAUAUUACUGUUCCCUGAGGAGCUUUCAUUAUUCCAGCAGUCAUCAGUUUCUCCCAAGACAGUGGAAGUUAUCCCAGCUACGUCACUUGUCACAUGACAUUUUGGUAGGAAGAAGGUAUGCAGUAU
This is a long non-coding RNA of Lemur catta (Ring-tailed lemur), 569 nucleotides long. RefSeq lists it as uncharacterized. Lineage: Eukaryota; Metazoa; Chordata; Mammalia; Primates; Lemuridae. The transcript is spliced from 3 exons. The record is from RefSeq and is a predicted model, not a curated record.